GAAAAGCUGAAGGAACUCUUCCCAGUCCUUUGCCAACCGGACAACCCUUCUGUUCGGACCAUGUUGGAUGAAGAUGAUGUGAAAGUUGCUGUGGAUGUCCUGAAAGAACUGGAAGCUUUAAUGCCCAGCGCAGCAGGCCAGGAGAAGCAAAGAGAUGCUGAACACCGGGACAGGACAAAGAAGAAGAAGCGGAGUCGAAGCCGAGAUCGAAACCGAGAUCGAGACAGAGAUAGGGAACGAAACCGAGAUAGAGACCACAAGCGGAGACACCGAUCUCGCUCUCGAUCACGUUCCAGGACCCGGGAGAGGAAUAAAGUGAAGUCUAGAUAUCGGUCCAGGAGCAGGAGUCAGAGUCCCCCCAAAGACCGGAAGGACCGGGACAAAUAUGGAGAGCGGAAUCUGGAUAGAUGGCGGGAUAAGCAUGUGGACCGCCCUCCUCCAGAAGAGCCCACCAUUGGUGACAUUUAUAAUGGCAAAGUUACCAGCAUCAUGCAGUUUGGUUGCUUUGUGCAGCUGGAAGGACUAAGGAAGCGGUGGGAAGGCCUGGUGCACAUCUCUGAGCUCCGGCGGGAGGGUCGUGUGGCCAAUGUAGCUGAUGUGGUGAGCAAAGGCCAGAGGGUCAAAGUCAAAGUGCUGUCCUUCACUGGGACCAAGACCAGCCUGAGCAUGAAGGAUGUGGAUCAAGAGACUGGAGAAGAUCUAAACCCAAAUAGACGGCGAAAUCUUGUCGGGGAGACCAAUGAGGAGACCUCAAUGCGGAAUCCUGAUAGACCCACUCACUUGUCCCUUGUCAGUGCUCCUGAAGUAGAGGACGACUCACUGGAACGCAAGCGCCUCACCCGAAUCUCUGACCCAGAGAAGUGGGAGAUCAAACAGAUGAUUGCUGCCAAUGUCCUUUCCAAAGAAGAAUUUCCAGACUUUGAUGAAGAGACUGGCAUUCUCCCUAAGGUGGAUGAUGAAGAAGAUGAGGACCUUGAGAUUGAAUUGGUUGAGGAAGAGCCUCCAUUCCUGAGAGGGCACACUAAGCAAAGCAUGGACAUGAGCCCCAUUAAAAUCGUCAAGAACCCAGAUGGCUCGCUCUCCCAAGCAGCAAUGAUGCAGAGUGCCUUGGCCAAAGAAAGGCGGGAACUCAAACAGGCCCAGCGGGAAGCUGAGAUGGAUUCUAUUCCCAUGGGACUUAACAAACACUGGGUUGACCCUCUCCCUGAUGCGGAAGGCAGACAGAUUGCUGCCAACAUGAGGGGUAUUGGGAUGAUGCCCAAUGAUAUUCCUGAGUGGAAGAAGCAUGCCUUUGGGGGCAACAAAGCCUCUUACGGAAAAAAGACCCAGAUGUCAAUCCUUGAGCAGAGGGAGAGCCUGCCCAUCUACAAACUGAAGGAGCAGUUGGUCCAGGCCGUCCAUGACAAUCAGAUCCUGAUUGUCAUUGGUGAGACAGGAUCUGGAAAGACAACACAGAUCACCCAGUACCUGGCGGAAGCAGGCUACACUUCCAGGGGCAAGAUUGGGUGUACCCAGCCCAGAAGAGUGGCAGCUAUGUCGGUGGCCAAAAGAGUGUCAGAGGAGUUUGGUUGUUGCUUAGGCCAAGAGGUGGGCUACACCAUUCGAUUUGAGGACUGCACUAGCCCUGAAACAGUCAUCAAGUACAUGACAGAUGGGAUGUUGCUUAGAGAGUGCUUGAUUGACCCUGACCUCACUCAGUACGCGAUCAUCAUGUUGGACGAGGCGCAUGAGAGGACAAUUCACACCGAUGUGCUCUUUGGAUUGUUGAAAAAGACAGUUCAGAAACGGCAGGACAUGAAGCUGAUUGUCACCUCAGCCACCUUGGACGCAGUGAAGUUUUCUCAAUACUUCUAUGAAGCUCCCAUUUUCACCAUCCCAGGUCGAACAUAUCCAGUGGAAAUACUGUACACAAAGGAACCUGAGACAGAUUAUCUGGAUGCCAGCCUGAUUACUGUUAUGCAGAUCCAUUUAACAGAACCACCAGGUGAUAUCCUGGUCUUCCUGACUGGUCAGGAAGAAAUUGAUACUGCUUGUGAGAUCCUGUAUGAAAGAAUGAAAUCCCUGGGACCUGAUGUUCCAGAGUUAAUUAUCCUCCCAGUGUACUCUGCUCUUCCCAGUGAGAUGCAGACCCGAAUCUUUGACCCAGCUCCACCAGGCAGCAGAAAGGUUGUGAUUGCCACCAAUAUCGCAGAGACAUCGCUGACUAUUGAUGGUAUCUACUAUGUGGUGGACCCAGGAUUCGUGAAGCAGAAAGUUUACAAUUCCAAGACAGGGAUUGACCAGCUUGUGGUGACGCCUAUUUCUCAGGCUCAGGCAAAGCAACGAGCUGGCAGAGCUGGGAGAACAGGCCCAGGGAAGUGUUACAGGCUGUACACAGAACGUGCCUACCGAGAUGAAAUGCUGACCACCAACGUGCCGGAAAUCCAGAGAACCAACUUAGCAAGCACAGUGCUGUCACUCAAGGUAGAAAUCACUGUCUUGUUAAAAUGGGUUGGUGGAACAGUCCAAUCCUGGCCUUCAUAAAUGAAUCUCAGUUUUAUGAACCUUGUUAAAUACUUUAGUAACCUCAUGAAACUAGUCCCUUUGAGUGAAAUGCAAAUGGCUGUGAUAACAGCCUCUCACGGCAGGUCUGGGGCUAAGUUGGCAUGUCUGCUGUGAACACACAUUUUUUCUUACCAUAACAACCAGCAGGAUAUUAGGUUGUAAAAGGUUCUAGUUAGGAGCAUUUUCUAAAAGGAAAUUAGAAAAAUAUAAUCAAUGCCAAACUGUGGACAAACACACCUAACCUCAACCACUUUAGUGCUCAGAUCCAAUUCUGUUCUUUUAGAACGAGAGAAAAACCCCCUGUUCAAAAACUUUGCAAGGGAACUGUCAGUACAGAUUUCAGACUGGCUCUCAGGGGCUUGGUUUUCAUUCUGAAUCAUUGUUCUUCCUCUCUCAGUCCCCAGUGAGGACUUCAUUCUCUUUUGGCAGGAGGAGCUGUAUGAGUAAUUUCCCAGCUGAUGGCGUUUCCCCCGACACUGAUGCUACCCUGGAGCCCUGGCACUUUCUGGUGCAGAGUGCUCUGUUGUCAUUUAUUAUUUAUUCCCUGUAAAAGAGGCUGAAACAGAACUUUGGAAAGAAAAAAGAAACCUACUCCAGUCUCUGAAGUGCCAACAGAGAGGCAUCUGUGGCUCGGACUUCAGCUCCAAACUGUGACUUUGGGCAAGUUUAUUUACUUUGCCCUCUGCUCUGUGUUCUCCUCUGAAAAAGGGGCUGUUAAUAGUAUUUGUUGGAAAGAUAAGUGAGAUAAUGUAGGUAAAGGCACUUGGCACAGUGCUUGGUGAUUGCUAACAUAAUUCCUCAUAGUUAUUAUUCACACAAUAAACAUUUAUUGAACACCUGCUGUGUUUAUGGUCACGAUCACUUUAUGAGAAAAAAAUAGAAAGCUUAGGUCCUACCACAUCACACUUUAUAUACACUUGAAUCGUGCAUCAUUCAGUCGUUUCUUUUAUUCAUCGAAUUAGCUAAUGUAUUGAACACCUGCUACGUACCAGGCAUGUAGAUUGCACUGUGGUGGUUUUGUGAACAUAGUUCUCACCCAGUGUGAACUCUGAAAGCAGGGGCCAUAUCCUGGCCAUCUUUAUAUCCCUCCCACCUAACAUAGUAUGAGAUCCCUCAUAGAUAUAUAGUAGAAAUGAUGUAUGCAAUAGACAGGACAAGUUGGUAGACUUUAUUAUUAUUAUUAUUGUAAAAUACAUAACAACAUUUACUAUUGUAAGCUUUUUAAAGUAUACAAUUCAGUGGCAUUAAAUACAUUCAAGAUGUUGUACAACCAUCACCAACAUCCAUUUCUAGAACUUUUUCAUUGUCCCAAACAGAAACUCUGUACCCAUUAAACAGUGACUCCCCUUUCCCCCUUCCUCUAUCUCUUGGUAACUACUCUUCUACUUUCUACCUCUCUGAAUUUGUCUAUUCUAGAUAGCCUCAUUUAAGUGGAAUCAUACAAUAUUCUUUUGUAUCUGACCUGUUUCUCUUAGAAUAAUGUUUUCAAGAUUUAUUCAUGUUAUUUUCAAGGUUUAUCCAUUUAUUUCAUUCCUUUCUAAGGGUGAAUAGUAUUCUGUUGUACGUAUAUACCACAUUUUGUUUAUCCAUUCAUCAGCAGAUGGACAUUUGGAUUGUUUCUACCUUUUGGCUAUUAUCAAUAAUGCUGCUGUGAACAUUAGUGUGCAGGUAUCUGUUUGAGUCUGCUUUCAGUUCUUUUGGAUAUAUACCUAGAAGUGUAAUUGCUGGGUCAUGUGCUAAUUCUGUAUUUAGCCUAUUAAGGAACCACCAAACUUUUCUACAGUGGCUGCAACAUCUUACAUUCCCACCAACAAUGCAUGAGGUUUCUGAUGUCUCCCGUCCUCACCGACAUUUGUUAGUUUCUGUUUUUUAAAAAACUUAAACCCAUCCUAGUGGGUAUGAAGUGAUAUCUCAUUGUAGUUUUGAUUUGCGUUUCCCUAAUUACUACUGAUGUUGUGUAUCUGUGCAUCUUUUUAUGUGCUUGUUGGCCAUUUGUAUAUCUUCUUUGAAGAAAUGUCUAUUCAAGCUCUUUGCCUAUUUUUUAAAUUGAGUUGUUUGUCCUUUUGUUGUUGAGUUGUACGUAUUGUCAUUUUGAGAGAGUGUUAGGGUUUUGUUUUUGUUUUUUUUUUUUUUUUUGGAAGAUGUUUUAUCAUGUUGCCCAGGCUGGUCUCAACUCCCGGGCUCAAGCGAUUUUCCCUCCUUGGCCUCCCAAACUGCUGGGAUUACAGGUGUGAGCCACCAUGCCCAACUGAGAGAGUAUUUUCAAAAAGUUUCCUGAGAAAUUAUGUGCUUUCCUUUGGGAGGCCGAGGCAGGCGGAUCACUUGAGGUCAGGAGUUCAAGACCAGCCCAGCCAACAUGGUAAAACGCUAUCUCUACUGAAAAUACAAAAAUUAGCUGGGCAUGAUGGCGGGUGCCUAUAAUCCCAGCUACUUGGGAUGCUGAGGCAGGGGAAUCACUUGAAGGUAGAAGGUGGAGGUUGCAGUGAGCUGAGAUUGGGCCACUGCACUCCAGCCUGGGCGACAGAGUGAGACUCAUCUCAAGUAUGUGCUUUCUAUUAUAAUAGUCUGAGUUUUAUGUGGCCCAGCCCUGGAAGUUACUGCCAGUCUCACUGGUGGCUUCCUAAUUGCAAUUGAAGAAAUGGGAAAUAAAGUAACAAGUAGCUUCCCCACAUGCUGACACUGGCUAGACUGACCCUCUUGUCACAUGCCUUCUUCCUUUAUGUUCUAGGCCAUGGGUAUCAAUGAUCUGCUGUCCUUUGAUUUCAUGGAUGCCCCACCUAUGGAAACUUUGAUCACAGCCAUGGAGCAGCUGUACACACUGGGGGCCCUGGAUGACGAGGGCCUGCUCACUCGCUUGGGCCGCCGGAUGGCAGAGUUCCCUCUGGAGCCAAUGCUAUGCAAAAUGCUCAUCAUGUCUGUGCAUCUGGGCUGCAGUGAGGAAAUGCUGACCAUUGUAUCCAUGCUGUCUGUGCAGAAUGUCUUCUAUAGGCCCAAGGAUAAACAAGCCCUUGCAGAUCAGAAGAAGGCCAAAUUCCACCAGACUGAAGGGGACCACCUCACCCUGCUAGCUGUGUACAACUCCUGGAAGAACAACAAGUUCUCCAACCCAUGGUGCUAUGAGAACUUUAUCCAGGCUCGUUCCCUGCGCCGGGCCCAGGACAUUCGCAAGCAGAUGUUAGGCAUAAUGGACAGACACAAGCUGGAUGUUGUUUCCUGUGGCAAGUCCACAGUCCGAGUGCAGAAGGCCAUCUGCAGUGGGUUCUUCCGUAAUGCUGCCAAGAAAGACCCGCAGGAGGGUUACCGGACACUGAUCGACCAGCAGGUGGUCUAUAUCCAUCCUUCCAGUGCCCUCUUCAACAGACAGCCAGAAUGCCCAAAGCACUUCCUCCCCGUGGUUUCUGUAGCUGUCUCAUUGGAGCAGUGCCUCUCCAAGUUUGAGGAUUUGAACAAAGAACUGGGACUGGUGACUUGUUAAUGAACAGUUCAGAGGGCAGAGGGCAAUCAUCUCAGCUUGUGGAGACCUUUCUUUCCCUGGAUGCUGCUUCUCAGCUAAAUCCCUCUCUCUUUGUGUGUGUACUUGGCCCUCAGGGUUUCCACCCGAUUUUUAUACCUUCUUCCCACCAUGAUAGCUUGGCUUUAAUGUGGCAUUAAAUUAUAUAUUUUUAAAACCUGUU
This 6218-nucleotide small RNA is filed under the name Pongo abelii (Sumatran orangutan). RNAcentral describes it as "retained intron". The record is from RNAcentral. Lineage: Eukaryota; Metazoa; Chordata; Mammalia; Primates; Hominidae.